GCCGAGAUGAUGGAACUGGUAGACAUGCUGGACUCAAAAUCCAGUACCCUUAAAAGUGUGCGGGUUCGAGUCCCGCUCUCGGUA
This 84-nucleotide transfer RNA is filed under the name Chitinophagales bacterium. Its description in RNAcentral is "tRNA-Leu". It matches the Rfam family "tRNA". Rfam says of the family: Transfer RNA (tRNA) molecules are approximately 80 nucleotides in length. Their secondary structure includes four short double-helical elements and three loops (D, anti-codon, and T loops). The record is from RNAcentral. Lineage: Bacteria; Pseudomonadati; Bacteroidota; Chitinophagia; Chitinophagales.